RNAcentral lists this ribosomal RNA (468 nucleotides) under uncultured bacterium. Its description in RNAcentral is "partial 16S ribosomal RNA". It matches the Rfam family "Bacterial small subunit ribosomal RNA", at positions 28 to 507 of the family's 1533-position model. The record is from RNAcentral.
GACGAACGCUGGCGGCGUGCUUAACACAUGCAAGUCGAACGGAAAGGCCCUGCUUUUGUGGGGUGCUCGAGUGGCGAACGGGUGAGUAACACGUGAGUAACCUGCCCUUGACUUUGGGAUAACUUCAGGAAACUGGGGCUAAUACCGGAUAGGAGCUCCUGCUGCAUGGUGGGGGUUGGAAAUUUUCGGCGGUUGGGGAUGGACUCGCGGCUUAUCAGCUUGUUGGUGGGGUAGUGGCUUACCAAGGGUUUGACGGGUAGCCGGCCUGAGAGGGUGACCGGCCACAUUGGGACUGAGAUACGGCCCAGACUCCUACGGGAGGCAGCAGUGGGGAAUAUUGCACAAUGGGCGGAAGCCUGAUGCAGCAACGCCGCGUGCGGGAUGACGGCCUGCGGGUUGUAAACCGCUUUCGCCUGUGACGAAGCGUGAGUGACGGUAAUGGGUAAAGAAGCACCGGCUAACUACGUG